RNAcentral lists this ribosomal RNA (493 nucleotides) under uncultured bacterium. Its description in RNAcentral is "bacterial SSU rRNA". It matches the Rfam family "Bacterial small subunit ribosomal RNA", at positions 30 to 507 of the family's 1533-position model. The record is from RNAcentral.
UUGAACGCUAGCGGCAUGCUUUAUACAUGCAAGUCGUACGGUACAAGUUUUUUCGGAAAAAUGUUGACGAGUGGCGAACGGGUGAGUAAUACAUAGGAAUCUGCCUAAGAGAAUGGGAUAGUUAGUGGAAACAUUAAGUAAUACCGUAUAUUUCUUUUAUAGAAAAAGCAGGGGACUUUUUUUUAAGAGCCUUGCGCUUUUAGAUGAGCCUAUGUCAGAUUAGUUAGUUGGUGAGGUAAAGGCUCACCAAGACGAUGAUCUGUAGUUGAUUUUAGAGAAUGAUCAGCCACACUGGGAUUGAGAUACGGCCCAGACUUCUACGGAAGGCAGCAGUAGGGAAUCUUGGACAAUGGGCGCAAGCCUGAUCCAGCAAUGCCGCGUGUGUGAAGAAGGCCUUAGGGUUGUAAAGCACUUUCAGCAAUGAAGAAGUGUAUUAUGCUAAUAUCAUAAUAUAUUGACGUUAGUUGCAGAAGAAGUACUGGCUAACUCUGUG